RNAcentral lists this small nuclear RNA (193 nucleotides) under Aotus nancymaae (Ma's night monkey). RNAcentral's name for it is "U2 spliceosomal RNA (ENSANAG00000002373.1)". It matches the Rfam family "U2 spliceosomal RNA". From Rfam's summary of the family: U2 is a small nuclear RNA (snRNA) component of the spliceosome (involved in pre-mRNA splicing). The record is from Rfam by way of RNAcentral. Lineage: Eukaryota; Metazoa; Chordata; Mammalia; Primates; Aotidae.
AUCGCUUCUCAGCCUUUACGGCUAAGAGCAUGCGUAGUAUCUGUUCGUGUCAGCGUGACAGCUGAUAAGUCCUCCAUCCAAGGACAGUCUAUCAUAGUGGAUUUUUGGAGCAGGGAGACGAAAUGGGAGCUUGCUCAGUCCGCUCCACGCGUCGACCUGGUAUUGCAGUACGUCCAGGGACGGUGCAUCCCCU